Molecule: ribosomal RNA, 1472 nt
Filed under: Ardenticatenaceae bacterium
Lineage: Bacteria; Bacillati; Chloroflexota; Ardenticatenia; Ardenticatenales; Ardenticatenaceae
Description: bacterial SSU rRNA
Rfam family: Bacterial small subunit ribosomal RNA
Source: RNAcentral
UUUACGGAGAGUUUGAUCCUGGCUCAGGAUGAACGCUGGCGGCGUGCCUAACACAUGCAAGUCGAACGGUGCCUACGGGCACAGUGGCGCACGGGUGCGUAACACGUAGAGACCUGCCCGGGAGCGGGGGAUAACGGUUGGAAACGACCGCUAAUACCCUAUAGCCUCGCGAGAGGAAAGCGGAUGCGCUCCCGGAGGGCUCUGCGGCCUAUCAGCUGGUUGGUGGGGUGAUGGCUCACCAAGGCGAUGACGGGUAGCUGGCCUGAGAGGGUGGUCAGCCACAUGGGGACUGAGACACGGCCCCAACUCCUACGGGAGGCAGCAGUGAGGAAUCUUGCCCAAUGAGCGCAAGCUUGAGGCAGCAACGCCGCGUGGAGGACGACGUCUUUCGGGAUGUAAACUCCUUUUCAGGGGGAGCAGAGCGGAGCGUACCCCUGGAAUCAGUCACGGCUAACUACGUGCCAGCAGCCGCGGUAACACGUAGGUGGCGAGCGUUAUCCGGAUUGACUGGGCGUAAAGGGUCCGUAGGUGGGCUGGCCGGUCUGGUGUGAAAUCUCUCGGCUUAACUGAGAGGCGCCACUGGAAACCGCCAGGCUGGAGUCGCGCAGAGGGCACUGGAAUUCCCGGUGUAGUGGUGGAAUGCGUAGAGAUCGGGAGGAACACCAGAGGCGCAAGCGGGUGCCUGGGCGCCGACUGACACUGAGGGACGAAAGCGUGGGCAGCGAACAGGAUUAGAUACCCUGGUAGUCCACGCUGUAAACGUUGUGUGCUCGGUUUCUGGGGUAUCGACCCCCUGGGAGCCCAAGUUAACGCGUUAAGCACACCGCCUGGGGAUUACGGCCGCAAGGCUAAAACUCAAAGGAAUUGACGGGGGCCCGCACAAGCAGCGGAGCGUGUGGUUUAAUUCGAUGCUACGCGCAGAACCUUACCCGGGCUUGACAGGCCGGUGGUAGCGGCUGGAAACAGGCGUGACCUUCGGGAGCCGGCACAGGUGCUGCAUGGUUGUCGUCAGCUCGUGUCGUGAGAUGUUGGGUUAAGUCCCGCAACGAGCGCAACCCCUGGGGUCUGUUGCACGUACCAGGCCCGACUGCCCGGCGCAACUGGGAGGAAGGUGGGGAUGACGUCAAAUCAGCAUGGCCUUGAUGUCCGGGGCGACACACACGCUACAAUGGCCGGUACAAUGCGUCGCCACCGCGCAAGCGGGCGCGAAUCGCCAAAGCCGGUCUCAGUUCGGAUUGGGGUCUGCAACUCGACCCCAUGAAGGCGGAGUUGCUAGUAACCGCGCGUCAGCCAUAGUGCGGUGAAUGCGUUCCCGGGCCUUGUACACACCGCCCGUCACGUCAUGGGAGUGGGUAACACCUGAAGUCGGUCGGGCAACCGCGAGGAGCCCCCCGCCGAGGGUGGGACCCGCGACUGGGACGAAGUCGUAACAAGGUAGCUGUACCGGAAGGUGCGGCUGGAUCACCUCCUUU